UUAUACGGAACACCAGUGUCGAAGGCGCCUUUCUGGACUGUAACUGACGCUGAGGCUCGACAGCUUUGGGAUCAAAC
This 77-nucleotide ribosomal RNA is filed under the name Campylobacter jejuni. RNAcentral's name for it is "partial 16S ribosomal RNA". The record is from RNAcentral. Lineage: Bacteria; Pseudomonadati; Campylobacterota; Epsilonproteobacteria; Campylobacterales; Campylobacteraceae.